This 465-nucleotide ribosomal RNA is filed under the name Vreelandella stevensii. RNAcentral describes it as "partial 16S ribosomal RNA". It matches the Rfam family "Bacterial small subunit ribosomal RNA", at positions 338 to 795 of the family's 1533-position model. Lineage: Bacteria; Pseudomonadati; Pseudomonadota; Gammaproteobacteria; Oceanospirillales; Halomonadaceae. The record is from RNAcentral.
CCUACGGGAGGCUGCAGUGGGGAAUAUUGGACAAUGGGCGAAAGCCUGAUCCAGCCAUGCCGCGUGUGUGAAGAAGACCUUCGGGUUGUAAAGCACUUUCAGUGGGGAAGAAAGCCUUGGGGCUAAUACCCUCGAGGAAGGACAUCACCCACAGAAGAAGCACCGGCUAACUCCGUGCCAGCAGCCGCGGUAAUACGGAGGGUGCGAGCGUUAAUCGGAAUUACUGGGCGUAAAGCGCGCGUAGGCGGUCUGAUAAGCCGGUUGUGAAAGCCCCGGGCUCAACCUGGGAACGGCAUCCGGAACUGUCAGGCUAGAGUGCAGGAGAGGAAGGUAGAAUUCCCGGUGUAGCGGUGAAAUGCGUAGAGAUCGGGAGGAAUACCAGUGGCGAAGGCGGCCUUCUGGACUGACACUGACGCUGAGGUGCGAAAGCGUGGGUAGCAAACAGGAUUAGAUACCCCGGUAGUC